AUUGAACGCUGGCGGUAUGCCUUACACAUGCAAGUCGAACGGCAGCACGGGAGCAAUCCUGGUGGCGAGUGGCGAACGGGUGAGUAAUAUAUCGGAACGUGCCCAGUCGUGGGGAUAACGUAGCGAAAGCUACGCUAAUACCGCAUACGAUCUAUGGAUGAAAGCGGGGGAUCGCAAGACCUCGCGCGAUUGGAGCGGCCGAUAUCAGAUUAGGUAGUUGGUGAGGUAAAGGCUCACCAAGCCGACGAUCUGUAGCUGGUCUGAGAGGACGACCAGCCACACUGGGACUGAGACACGGGCCCAGACUCCUACGGAGGCAGCAGUGGGGAAUUUUGGACAAUGGGCGCAAGCCUGAUCCAGCAAUGCCGCGUGCAGGAUGAAGGCC
RNAcentral lists this ribosomal RNA (385 nucleotides) under uncultured bacterium. Its description in RNAcentral is "bacterial SSU rRNA". It matches the Rfam family "Bacterial small subunit ribosomal RNA", at positions 30 to 416 of the family's 1533-position model. The record is from RNAcentral.